GACGUCCUGGAUGUGCCGGGGCCUUAUGGGGACAUGCCAGGGCCUUGCAGGGACACGGGGACAUCCUGGAUGUGCCAGGRCCUCAUGGGGACACGGGGACAUCCCGGAUGUGCUGAGGCCUUAUGGGGACAUCCCAGGGCCUUGCGGGGACACGGGGACAUCCUGGACGUGCCAGGGCCUCAUGGGGACAUGGGGACAUCCCGGACGUGCCUGGGCCUUGCGGGGACGGAUCAGGGCUUUGCGGGGAUACACCACGACCUUAUGGGGACACGGGGAUGUCCCCAGGCCCUCCGGGGAUGUCCUGGAGCCUUACGGGGACGUGAGGACGUCCCCGGGCCCUCUGGGGACGUCCAGGAUGUCCCCAGGCCCUGUGGGGACCUCCCAGGGUCCUACAGGGACAUUAUGGGGAUGUGGGGAUGUCCUGGACAUCCUGGGGCCAUAUGGAGACAUCAUGGAGCCUUACAGGGACGAUGGGGACAUCGCAGGGACACGGGGACGUCCUGGUACCCUACAUGGACUUUAUGGGGACAUGGGGACGUCCUGGAUGUCCCAGGGCCCUCUGGGGACCUUAUGGGGAAGUCCCGGAUGUCCUGAUGCCCUAUGGGGACAUUGCGGGGGCGUGGGGACAUCCCGGAUGUCCUAGGACCCCACGGGGUCAUUAUGGGGCUGUGGGGACAUGGGGAUGUCCCAGUGCCCUGCGGGGACACGGAGACAUCCUGGAUGUGCCAGGACCCCCGUGGGGACAUUAUUGGGAUGCCCUGGAUGUCCCAAUGCCCUGUGGGGACAUGGAGAUGUYACGGAUGUCCCAGGAUCCCAUGGGGAUGUCUUGAGUGUCCCAGGACCCCAUGGGGACGUCCCCAUGGGGACAUCCUGGAUGUCCUGGUGCCCCAUGGGGAUGUCACGGAUGUUCCAGGAUCCCAUGGGGAUGUCCUGAGUGUCCCAGGAUCCCAUGGGGACAUCCCGGACGUCCUGGUGCCCCAUGGGGACUUCCUGGACAUCCCAGUGCCCCAUGGGGACGUCCCGGAUGUCCCAGGAUCCCAUGGGGACGUCCUGGGUGGCCCAGGUCCUCAUGGGGACAUCCCGGAUGUCCUGGUGCCCCAUGGGGACGUCCCAGAUGUCCCAGGAUCCCGUGGGGACAUCUCGGACGUCCCGGCGCCCCGUGGGGACGUCCCAGGUGUCCCGGCGCCCCAUGGGGACCCCGUGGGGACAUCCUGGAGCCUUAGGGGGCCGGGGGGGCGCCUGCCUUGC
This 1248-nucleotide long non-coding RNA is filed under the name Apteryx rowi (Okarito brown kiwi). RNAcentral describes it as "lncRNA (ENSARWG00000018213.1)". The record is from RNAcentral. Lineage: Eukaryota; Metazoa; Chordata; Aves; Apterygiformes; Apterygidae.